Long non-coding RNA from Manacus vitellinus (golden-collared manakin), 2691 nucleotides. RefSeq lists it as uncharacterized. The record is from RefSeq and is a predicted model, not a curated record. NCBI's taxonomy places the organism in Eukaryota, Metazoa, Chordata, Aves, Passeriformes, Pipridae. The transcript is spliced from 4 exons.
GCUAAAAAACUUGGAUCAUGGCAGCAUUCUGAACUUUAUAUGGUCCCUGCUUGUCAGUGGUAACUCUUUUAUGCUUACCUGCUAAUGUGAAGUUGAAACUGUUGCUGUAUUUCAUACUAUUGGGAAAACUAUUAUUAGCUUUGCAUUUAUAGGUUCCAGAGUCAGUAGAGGAAUUGACAAAUAGAAAAAUCACAGCUGCUUCCCUCUCAUGCAUCAUCACUGGGGGAGAGAUACUUUGUUUUCCCUUGAAGAAUAUGUAAGUGAUGGGAAGAGAUCCAUUCUCGGAGAAACAAGACAGGGUCACGUUCUGGCCUUUCGUUGUUUGAGAGGUGGGUGAGCUCAGCACUGGUUUGGAAAUUGGCUCUGACAAAAGAAAACUGAAAAGGCUCAAUCACUGAGUACAGGACAAGCUCCAAGCAAGAUUCAGAGUUAAGCAGCAAAAUAGGGUGAGCAUCAAGGAUGGAGGGUUUGGUGAGCCAGGGCAGGGCAGCGCUGCUGACUCCUGAGGGAAUAACAGCCAUCUGCAGUAAAGGUCAGCUCCUCAGGCAAGACUGUGCCCCUAAAAUAAAGAGUGUUGGGAAGGUGCCCAGCCAGACAUACCUAUAAGGGUGAAGUUGAGGCUGUUGCUGUAUUUUCCAUCACUGGAGGUGUUGUGCUCAGCUUUGCAUUUGUAGGGACCCACGUCGCUGGCAGAGCUGAUAGUCAAGGUAAACAAUGCAGGGGUCGAGUCUGACCUGUUCAGAGAGGAUACCUGCUGGUUGUGUUUGAACAAGGUGUAUCUGACAGGUGGAGAUCCAGAGGCAGAGCAGCAGCAGAGGGUCACGUUCUGGUUCAUCACCACGUUCAAACUCCUCUGAACCAGUUCGAGCUUGGGGUUGGACAGGAUCCCUGGAAAGGAGAAACUUCUGAAAAACAUACUGAAUGAAAAGAAAAAUGCUAAAAAAAAUAUUAAAUCUGCCAGGACUCUUAUCUGGUUUUCGUCCCUUUUCAAACCUCUGUUGGUGUACACUGAGGUGUCUCUGAGGAGUAUCUGCCCCUCUGUGCAGUUUAACCAGCAGUUACAUGAGUGGCAGCACUGGCUGUGUGUGGGCACCUGCUGCAGGAGUGGACAGCGGUUAAAAAUGCCCUCGAGGAGCUGAGUCACUCACAAGCUGCUGGCACAAGGAAAGGUGGUCAAGGUGGUAUCACAGGCCACAAAAAUAAUGGAAUCAUAAAUUGAUUUCACAUCUCUGAAAGAAUGAAUUUCUCUCCUUUUAUCCAACUGAUGAGCUGAAUUUACUUCUUGGAUUUUGGUCAACACCAGCGGGAUUUUCCUCUCCACGACAAUGUCUGUCGAGGCUGGGCAGGAAUGUGACAGUGUAAUCAGCCUGUAAGAUCUUCUGGAAUGUACUUCUCUUGGGAACGACAUCUCCCAACAGCCUCAGGUUUUGGCACCGUUAAACCUUACUCCUGAGCUAGUUCAUCCUCAAAGCUGGCCUUCCACCCGAGUCUGAAACCAGCCUGGCUCUGAACUUGUCUCACACUCACUCUCUCCUUCCCUUGCUGGGCUCGGAGAAACCUUUGUCCCUCGUGGGAAAGACUGGUGUGGUUUUGCUGAGCUUUUUAUGUUGUGCUAAAUUCUUUUCUGGGGAAAGGGGGGAAGGGGAAAAUCUCCUUCCUUCCUAUUUUUUUGUUACCAAUAGCAAAAGUUGAUCUACCUUUGUUCUCCACCUGCCAUGUGUCCUCCUGCCCUUUUCCUUUACCUGUCCCUGGAGACCAUUGUUGGCCACCGGCCAAACCCCCAAUCCUUUGUUGGUGGUGUGUUUCCAAGAGCCUGGACUAAGCAGAACAAACACUGUUGGUAGUUAACAGCUUAGUCUUUAGUCAUUAAUUGCUGUGGCUAUUGUGCCAUUCUGUAAAACAGCCAGAGAGGUGCUUGUUCAUGACCGAUGCAUUGUUAAACAGAUGAGUGUUUUCCUUCUGUUUCCCUUUGCAAAAUGCCAUUCUUAUAUGUGUAAUACAAGCAUUGAAGUACACUUAUAGCUUUAAAAUAUUGAUUUUUUUGGGGGAAAAAUACAGUUUUCAUUGACCCCCAGGAGAAAAAAAAAAGGAUUUCAUAUAAGCGAAGCUCAUGAGAACUGUCUGUUUUAUAGAUUUCUGUGAACAUAUUUAGUGUUGUUUUACACAGUGUUUUAACAAGCUUGGAAUUAAAGGAAAGCAUUGACUCUGUCUACAAAGGAGAGAAAGAGAUUAAGAGCUGAACACUGAAUUUUCAAGAAUUACUAAAUCACUGCUUGGGGAGGUCUGGGACACACAACUCAAGAAACACUUUUUGAAGGGCAUGAUUUCAACUCACUUUGUCAAACUGAGUCAGUGUUCAGGAUGGGAAUGGCUUAAGUCUGGCUUAAAAGUGGGCUGAUACAGUGAGAAAGGAAUACCCUGAGCAACAGAGAAGUGUGCUGUAUUUCACAUUGUGCCAGUGCUGCUGCAGAUUUUUGCUGAGAACUGAAACUCCAACCGGUUCUUUUUCUUGUGGGGUGUAAGGUUUAUGCUUUUGCAGGCUUUGCACUGUCCUAACUACAUAAAAUAAAAUCUGGUGCAGAUCCAUGUUUCCGAUAUCUGAUGGUGAUAUGAGAGAUCUGCCUGUCCAUAUUCUGGACUCACACAACAGUAGCUCUGGUUUCUUAGAUAAUUCGAAUUUAUUGUGCACUC